AUGGCCUGGACUCCUCUCCUCCUCGUGCUCCUCUCCCACUGCACAGGUUCCCUCUCCCAGCCUGUGCUGACUCAGCUGCCCUCCCUCUCUGCAUCACCUGGGACAACCGUCAGGCUGUCCUGUACCCUGAGAAGUGGCAUCAGUGUUUGGGGCCAAAGAAUCAGUUGGCACCAGCAGAAGCCAGGAAGCCCUCCCCGGUAUCUCCUGAACUACCACACAGACUCAGAUAAAGGCCAGGGCUCCGGUGUCCCGAGCCGCUUCUCUGGAUCCAAAGAUACUUCAGCCAAUGCAGGGAUUCUGCUCAUCACUAGGUUGCAGCCUGAGGACGACGCUGAGUAUUACUGUGCUACAUAUUACAGCGACGCUACCCUCACAGUGAUCCAGACUCACGGGGAAAUCGUACAUUCUGUGCAUAUACUCUUCGUUUCUGCUAGUGUGGAAAGCUCUUCUUUGCCCAAGCCUACCUUGGAAUAA
Non-coding RNA from Sorex araneus (European shrew), 474 nucleotides. Lineage: Eukaryota; Metazoa; Chordata; Mammalia; Eulipotyphla; Soricidae. The record is from the annotation of a RefSeq genome assembly.